CCUACGGGGCGCAGCAGUAAGGGAUAUUGGUCAAUGGGGGAAACCCUGAACCAGCAACGCCGCGUGAGGGAAGACGGUUUUCGGAUUGUAAACCUCUGUCCUCUGUGAAGAUGAUGACGGUAGCAGAGGAGGAAGCUCCGGCUAACUACGUGCCAGCAGCCGCGGUAAUACGUAGGGAGCGAGCGUUGUCCAGAUUUACUGGGUGUAAAGGGUGCGUAGGCGGCUUGGCAAGUCAGUAGUGAAAUCCCCGCGCUCAACGUGGGAACUGCCUUUGAAACUGGCAAACUGGAGUGUGUGAGAGGAUA
RNAcentral lists this ribosomal RNA (305 nucleotides) under uncultured bacterium. Its description in RNAcentral is "bacterial SSU rRNA". It matches the Rfam family "Bacterial small subunit ribosomal RNA", at positions 338 to 660 of the family's 1533-position model. The record is from RNAcentral.